This 274-nucleotide ribosomal RNA is filed under the name uncultured bacterium. Its description in RNAcentral is "partial 16S ribosomal RNA". It matches the Rfam family "Bacterial small subunit ribosomal RNA", at positions 523 to 796 of the family's 1533-position model. The record is from RNAcentral.
AUACGGAGGGUGCAAGCGUUAUUCGGAAUCACUGGGCGUAAAGGACGCGUAGGCGGGUUUGUAAGUCAGGUGUGAAAUCCUACAGCUCAACUGUAGAACUGCACUUGAAACUACAGACCUAGAGUAUGGAAGGGGCAGAUGGAAUUAGUGGUGUAGGGGUAAAAUCCGUAGAUAUCACUAGGAAUACCGAAAGCGAAGGCGAUCUGCUGGGACAUUACUGACGCUGAGGCGUGAAAGCGUGGGGAGCAAACAGGAUUAGAAACCCUAGUAGUCC